Molecule: long non-coding RNA, 540 nt
Filed under: Oryza brachyantha (malo sina)
Lineage: Eukaryota; Viridiplantae; Streptophyta; Magnoliopsida; Poales; Poaceae
Description: long non-coding RNA (OBRA_LNC002563)
Source: RNAcentral
CCAUAAUGCAUGACAAUAGUUACUGUACUAUAUAUCUAAUCUUGAUCCAUGUGUACAGAUAGGCUUGGGAAGCAAUGGGAACUACAUGGUAUGUCUCUAUCUACAUAUUUCUAUGUUUUUCGACCUCAUACAUGUACAGUAGCAAGUACUAAUACUUUCAUAUGUACUUAAUGCUUCUAAUUGUUGGUUUCAGUUAAGUGGGAAAGAGACGUGUAGAGUACCAUCAAGUUGGCUAUGGAUCUUUCUCUAGGGCAGUCCUAAUUGUGGCUGCUUUGGUUGUCCGAGAGGAAAAUGAGUGUUCAGACUUCAAACUUGCUGUUCAAGCAGUAAAAUUGCCACAGGUCUACUGUAGCAUAUAUAUUGUAGGUCAGAUUUAAGCUUUUCCAUGAAAAAAUUGAUGGAUGGGUCCACACGUAGUCCACAUUCGGCAACAUACAGUUCUUCUAGAUGGGACUAAUGCUAAUCCAGGUUGCAAUAGUCUCACACUUAAAAUUAAGGAAGAGUUACACCAACUUAAAAAAUAAGUAAGACUAUAACCUU